UUUUUUUUUGCACAUCUCUAUUUAGUAUUAAUUCAUUUUGCUUUUGUAUAAAAACUAUGUUUACAAAUGUUUCUACUUUUCUUUAGGGAGAAGGAUUAUGUAUUAUUCACCUUUGUAUUCACCCUGCAGUUAGCAUAGUUCUUUGCAUAUACGAUAAAAGCUUGUUGACAAAUAUUUUUCUCAGUAAGAAGAUGAGCACAUAAAUGACAUACACAUCUUCUAAAACAAUGCUGAACAAAUAUAAAAAUGUGGGGAAAUAUACUGUUGAAAACAUUCCAUUUUAAGAGUAGGUUUUGUCAGCCAUAUGAAUUGGAAAUCAUGAAGAUGGUUCAUUGAUCAACAAAUAUGUACUAUAACUAUGGAAUAACAGUGAACAAAACAGAUGUAGUCCUUGCCCUCACAGAACACACAACUUAGUGGAGACUGACAACACACACACAAACAAUUAAGAAAACAAAGAGCAGGUGGUAAUUAGGUAUUAGGAUAGGGGUGGCAGACAGAUUACUACUCAGAUAGGGUGGACAGCUUGACAAGUGAAACUGAGGCUGACACUUGAAGGGUAAGAGUCAAAUUUGCAGGGAAAAGGGGAACAGCCAGAAUUAAGGCCCUAAAGCAGGGGUGGUGGUCAUAUGUUACAAUUCCAACUUCAGGGGAAUGUAGUUACUACAGCACAUUCUCCAUCCUUCUAUUUACCAAGUCUCUUGCAGUUCUUUCACUCACCAAUUCUCCUUUUCUGAUGGUUCAGAUUUUCCUGGCUAAAUUUAAAAAUGGCAUGAAUUCUGGCAUGAAUGUCAGACUGUUUCCAAAUAAUCCUAAUUUCUCUCCAGUCCUUAUGACUGAUAAAUUCAUCUCCAAGUGAUGACUGUGUCCCAAUUAGGAAAGAAGAGUGUUUCUCUAGAUCAGCUUUAAUUUUUUGAUUUGGAGUCCUCCUGAUUGCUAAUCAACAUGUUGUGUAAUUACUUCAAUAAUUACUUAUAAAAUGUUCUUUUGUCUUCAGAAAAACACCCUGCUGCUUUCUGUACUCUAGGUUGCUCUGGAGCUUAGGCAGAGGAGAUGUACCUAAAGCAUCUCUAACCACUGGGCAUUUUCAGAUCUACUGCUAUAGCUACACGUGAAAUGAUAAGAGCAUGUGAUAUACUGGGAAAAGCCCUCUGUUAGAAAUUAGAGGAUGCAGGUUCGAGUUCCAGGUCUGCCACUUUGCUAUGCAAAUCCGGGUCAUUUGUUUACUUCUAGGUUUAGUUUUUUUUAUUGGUAAAGUGGGAAUACUAUAAAAGUUGUAUCUUACAUAAAGUCAAAUGUAUGUGCUUGGUAAAGUAGUUUAAAAGAAAAAUAUAAAUUUAAAUAGUACUCAAUGAGUAUACACCCAGGAAUAAACAUGAGCUGGAAAGCAGAAAUAUGUUGUUACAUCAAUUAGUCUUCAUUCUUAUAAGCCUCUCAUUGAAAAUCUUGCUCUGCUGCAUGAUUUUAGUGUUUAAACAUUUACAUAAACAUUUACAUAUACUUACAUAUAUUCUUAUUUGAUUGUUUAGGACAAGGUCCCUACAUAUAAUCUACUUGCUUCAUCUAAGGCUCAAAUAAACAGCCAUUCAGAUGAUGUGAUUUAUUGAUAUGUUUACUCUAGCUAUGCCACUAUACUAUAAUGGCAGAGACAGCAACAUAAGUCAAAGUUGAUGGAACCCUGGUAAUUACUGUUGAGACCCUGAGCCAUCAAUUUUUUGUUAUUGGUAA
Molecule: long non-coding RNA, 1728 nt
Filed under: Canis lupus familiaris (dog)
Lineage: Eukaryota; Metazoa; Chordata; Mammalia; Carnivora; Canidae
Description: lncRNA (ENSCAFG00000054784.1, ENSCAFG00845021919.1)
Source: RNAcentral